GAUGAACGCUGGCGGCGUGCCUAAUACAUGCAAGUCGAGCGAACAGACGAGGAGCUUGCUCCUCUGACGUUAGCGGCGGACGGGUGAGUAACACGUGGAUAACCUACCUAUAAGACUGGGAUAACUUCGGGAAACCGGAGCUAAUACCGGAUAAUAUAUUGAACCGCAUGGUUCAAUAGUGAAAGACGGUUUUGCUGUCACUUAUAGAUGGAUCCGCGCCGCAUUAGCUAGUUGGUAAGGUAACGGCUUACCAAGGCAACGAUGUGUAGCCGACCUGAGAGGGUGAUCGGCCACACUGGAACUGAGACACGGUCCAGACCCCUACGGGAGGCAGCAGUAGGGAAUCUUCCGCAAUGGGCGAAAGCCUGACGGAGCAACGCCGCGUGAGUGAUGAAGGUCUUCGGAUCGUAAAACUCUGUUAUUAGGGAAGAACAAAUGUGUAAGUAACUAUGCACGUCUUGACGGUACCUAAUCAGAAAGCCACGGCUAACUACGUG
RNAcentral lists this ribosomal RNA (497 nucleotides) under uncultured bacterium. RNAcentral describes it as "partial 16S ribosomal RNA". It matches the Rfam family "Bacterial small subunit ribosomal RNA", at positions 28 to 507 of the family's 1533-position model. The record is from RNAcentral.